This 253-nucleotide ribosomal RNA is filed under the name uncultured bacterium. RNAcentral's name for it is "partial 16S ribosomal RNA". It matches the Rfam family "Bacterial small subunit ribosomal RNA", at positions 524 to 776 of the family's 1533-position model. The record is from RNAcentral.
UACGUAGAAGACGAGUGUUAAUCGGAAUUACUGGGCGUAAAGCGUGCGCAGGCGGUUUGCUAAGACCGAUGUGAAAUCCCCGGGCUUAACCUGGGAACUGCAUUGGUGACUGGCAGGCUAGAGUAUGGCAGAGGGGGGUAGAAUUCCACGUGUAGCAGUGAAAUGCGUAGAGAUGUGGAGGAAUACCGAUGGCGAAGGCAGCCCCCUGGGCCAAUACUGACGCUCAUGCACGAAAGCGUGGGGAGCAAACAGG